This 391-nucleotide unclassified non-coding RNA is filed under the name soil metagenome. RNAcentral describes it as "partial contains 5.8S ribosomal RNA, internal transcribed spacer 2, and large subunit ribosomal RNA". The stretch from base 1 to 122 matches the Rfam family "5.8S ribosomal RNA", at positions 35 to 154 of the family's 154-position model. The record is from RNAcentral.
GAUGAAGAACGCAGCGAAAUGCGAUACUUGGUGUGAAUUGCAGAAUCCCGUGAACCAUCGAGUCUUUGAACGCAAGUUGCGCCCGAAGCCAUUAGGCCGAGGGCACGCCUGCCUGGGCGUCACACGUCGUUGCCCCCCCAUCUACUCCUUCGGGAUUGCGGGGGGCGGAUGAUGGCCUCCCGUGCGCCUCGUCGCGCGGUUGGCAUAAAUGCCAAGUCCUCGGCGACGCACGCCACGACAAUCGGUGGUUGCGAAACCUCGGUUGCCCGUCGUGUGCGGUCAUCGCGCAUCGAGGGCUCGAAAAAAUUGCCGGGCUCCGGCUCGGCUUUCAACGCGACCCCAGGUCAGGCGGGGUUACCCGCUGAAUUUAAGCAUAUCAAUAAGCGGAGGA